This is a small nucleolar RNA of Capra hircus (goat), 69 nucleotides long. NCBI's taxonomy places the organism in Eukaryota, Metazoa, Chordata, Mammalia, Artiodactyla, Bovidae. The record is from Ensembl.
UGGGAAGUGAUGAUACUUGACUCCUGACAGUGCUCUGAUUUCUCACUGUAUUCGUACUGGCUGAUCCCG